UACAGAGACUGCAAGCGUUAUUCGGAUUCACUGGGCGUAAAGGGUGCGCAGGCGGUUGGGUGUGUCAGAUGUGAAAUCCCGAGGCUUAACCUCGGAACUGCGUCUGAAACUACUCGACUAGAGUACUGGAGAGGGAAACGGAAUUCACGGUGUAGCAGUGAAAUGCGUAGAUAUCGUGAGGAACACCAGAGGCGAAGGCGGUUUCCUGGACAGUUACUGACGCUCAGGCACGAAGCCAGGGGAGCGAACGGG
This 252-nucleotide ribosomal RNA is filed under the name uncultured bacterium. Its description in RNAcentral is "partial 16S ribosomal RNA". It matches the Rfam family "Bacterial small subunit ribosomal RNA", at positions 524 to 776 of the family's 1533-position model. The record is from RNAcentral.